RNAcentral lists this ribosomal RNA (2198 nucleotides) under Salmonella enterica. RNAcentral's name for it is "partial 23S ribosomal RNA". It matches the Rfam family "Bacterial large subunit ribosomal RNA", at positions 711 to 2805 of the family's 2925-position model. The record is from RNAcentral. Lineage: Bacteria; Pseudomonadati; Pseudomonadota; Gammaproteobacteria; Enterobacterales; Enterobacteriaceae.
AGACCCGAAACCCGGUGAUCUAGCCAUGGGCAGGUUGAAGGUUGGGUAACACUAACUGGAGGACCGAACCGACUAAUGUUGAAAAAUUAGCGGAUGACCUGUGGCUGGGGGUGAAAGGCCAAUCAAACCGGGAGAUAGCUGGUUCUCCCCGAAAGCUAUUUAGGUAGCGCCUCGUGAAUUCAUCUCCGGGGGUAGAGCACUGUUUCGGCUAGGGGGCCAUCCCGGCUUACCAACCCGAUGCAAACUGCGAAUACCGGAGAAUGUUAUCACGGGAGACACACGGCGGGUGCUAACGUCCGUCGUGAAGAGGGAAACAACCCAGACCGCCAGCUAAGGUCCCAAAGUCAUGGUUAAGUGGGAAACGAUGUGGGAAGGCCCAGACAGCCAGGAUGUUGGCUUAGAAGCAGCCAUCAUUUAAAGAAAGCGUAAUAGCUCACUGGUCGAGUCGGCCUGCGCGGAAGAUGUAACGGGGCUAAACCAUGCACCGAAGCUGCGGCAGCGAACGUAUCACCCAAGACAACUUUACGGAGUUGACGAUUGACGGAGCGAAGCGACGUCAAAGCGUUCAUUAAAGUCGAGUUGGCUUAGGGAUACGUUCGUUGGGUAGGGGAGCGUUCUGUAAGCCUGUGAAGGUGUGUCGUGAGGCAUGCUGGAGGUAUCAGAAGUGCGAAUGCUGACAUAAGUAACGAUAAAGCGGGUGAAAAGCCCGCUCGCCGGAAGACCAAGGGUUCCUGUCCAACGUUAAUCGGGGCAGGGUGAGUCGACCCCUAAGGCGAGGCCGAAAGGCGUAGUCGAUGGGAAACGGGUUAAUAUUCCCGUACUUGGUGUUACUGCGAAGGGGGGACGGAGAAGGCUAUGUUGGCCGGGCGACGGUUGUCCCGGUUUAAGCGUGUAGGUGUGUGUUCCAGGUAAAUCCGGUUCACUUUAACACUGAGGCGUGACGACGAGGCACUACGGUGCUGAAGCAACAAAUGCCCUGCUUCCAGGAAAAGCCUCUAAGCAUCAGGUAACAUCAAAUCGUACCCCAAACCGACACAGGUGGUCAGGUAGAGAAUACCAAGGCGCUUGAGAGAACUCGGGUGAAGGAACUAGGCAAAAUGGUGCCGUAACUUCGGGAGAAGGCACGCUGACACGUAGGUGAAGUGAUUUACUCAUGGAGCUGAAGUCAGUCGAAGAUACCAGCUGGCUGCAACUGUUUAUUAAAAACACAGCACUGUGCAAACACGAAAGUGGACGUAUACGGUGUGACGCCUGCCCGGUGCCGGAAGGUUAAUUGAUGGGGUCAGCGCAAGCGAAGCUCCUGAUCGAAGCCCCGGUAAACGGCGGCCGUAACUAUAACGGUCCUAAGGUAGCGAAAUUCCUUGUCGGGUAAGUUCCGACCUGCACGAAUGGCGUAAUGAUGGCCAGGCUGUCUCCACCCGAGACUCAGUGAAAUUGAACUCGCUGUGAAGAUGCAGUGUACCCGCGGCAAGACGGAAAGACCCCGUGAACCUUUACUAUAGCUUGACACUGAACAUUGAGCCUUGAUGUGUAGGAUAGGUGGGAGGCUUUGAAGUGUGGACGCCAGUCUGCAUGGAGCCGACCUUGAAAUACCACCCUUUAAUGUUUGAUGUUCUAACGUGGACCCGUAAUCCGGGUUGCGGACAGUGUCUGGUGGGUAGUUUGACUGGGGCGGUCUCCUCCUAAAGAGUAACGGAGGAGCACGAAGGUUGGCUAAUCCUGGUCGGACAUCAGGAGGUUAGUGCAAUGGCAUAAGCCAGCUUGACUGCGAGCGUGACGGCGCGAGCAGGUGCGAAAGCAGGUCAUAGUGAUCCGGUGGUUCUGAAUGGAAGGGCCAUCGCUCAACGGAUAAAAGGUACUCCGGGGAUAACAGGCUGAUACCGCCCAAGAGUUCAUAUCGACGGCGGUGUUUGGCACCUCGAUGUCGGCUCAUCACAUCCUGGGGCUGAAGUAGGUCCCAAGGGUAUGGCUGUUCGCCAUUUAAAGUGGUACGCGAGCUGGGUUUAGAACGUCGUGAGACAGUUCGGUCCCUAUCUGCCGUGGGCGCUGGAGAACUGAGGGGGGCUGCUCCUAGUACGAGAGGACCGGAGUGGACGCAUCACUGGUGUUCGGGUUGUCAUGCCAAUGGCACUGCCCGGUAGCUAAAUGCGGAAGAGAUAAGUGCUGAAAGCAUCUAAGCACGAAACUUGCCCCGAGAU